GAUGAACGCUGGCGGCGUGCCUAAUACAUGCAAGUCGAGCGAACAGACGAGGAGCUUGCUCCUCUGACGUUAGCGGCGGACGGGUGAGUAACACGUGGAUAACCUACCUAUAAGACUGGGAUAACUUCGGGAAACCGGAGCUAAUACCGGAUAAUAUAUUGAACCGCAUGGUUCAAUAGUGAAAGACGGUUUUGCUGUCACUUAUAGAUGGAUCCGCGCCGCAUUAGCUAGUUGGUAAGGUGACGGCUUACCAAGGCAACGAUGCGUAGCCGACCUGAGAGGGUGAUCGGCCACACUGGAACUGAGACACGGUCCAGACUCCUACGGGAGGCAGCAGUAGGGAAUCUUCCGCAAUGGGCGAAAGCCUGACGGAGCAACGCCGCGUGAGUGAUGAAGGUCUUCGGAUCGUAAAACUCUGUUAUUAGGGAAGAACAAAUGUGUAAGUAACUACGCACGUCUUGACGGUACCUAAUCAGAAAGCCACGGCUAACUACGUG
RNAcentral lists this ribosomal RNA (497 nucleotides) under uncultured bacterium. RNAcentral describes it as "partial 16S ribosomal RNA". It matches the Rfam family "Bacterial small subunit ribosomal RNA", at positions 28 to 507 of the family's 1533-position model. The record is from RNAcentral.